This is a long non-coding RNA of Pipistrellus kuhlii (Kuhl's pipistrelle), 283 nucleotides long. RefSeq lists it as uncharacterized. The record is from RefSeq and is a predicted model, not a curated record. NCBI's taxonomy places the organism in Eukaryota, Metazoa, Chordata, Mammalia, Chiroptera, Vespertilionidae. The transcript is spliced from 3 exons.
AAAUAAAAGCUUAGUAAUAAGGAGCAACAAAAGCAAAAAAAAAAAAAAAAAAAAAAAGCACACAAAAAUAUUCACAGCACAACUUCCUGAGAUGUUAACCAGGUGAGGUUUAGCUAUAAACUGAUUCAUAUUGGUGGAUUCUCUCCUUUCUUUGUGCCUGGGCUUUUUGUCAUGCUGAUGUAUCAGCAUGAAAGGGUUGUUAGGUCAAGAACUGAAGUUUUGUUCCACAACCAAGACAUUGUUUCCCCAUGAACAACUUGGUAGAGAACCGAAUUGUUUGAGA